GAUCACUAGUGGAACCGAGAACUAGCCUUUGUACGAUUAUCCUAACUUGUCUGUGUUGCUUAUUUAUCUUUCUUAUACUGCCUAAAUUGCUUAUUAUCCAUUGUGUGCUUCUAAUUAUUAAUUUGAAUUAUUUCUUAUUUAUUGAUUGUGUUACCUAAUUGUGAUUUCCUUAAUCUCGUUGAUGGAUUGGAAAUAAAAGUCCUAAUUACGUGUCUUGAUUGUUAAAUUGUAUUGUUUGCUUAUAUG
Molecule: long non-coding RNA, 246 nt
Filed under: Carica papaya (papaya)
Lineage: Eukaryota; Viridiplantae; Streptophyta; Magnoliopsida; Brassicales; Caricaceae
Description: long non-coding RNA (CPAP_LNC008528)
Source: RNAcentral